GGAGAAAGCAAUGUGAUAGGGACUCCACACCAUUACCCAUGCUAAUGCACCAGACUUCUGGUCCCAAGAAAUGUGUUCAUCUGCACAUGUUAUGGAAGACACUAGUGGUCCUGAGCUGGUCUUUUGUCUGUCCUGUGAGAUGGAAACGAAUCAAGGCAGAAGACAAUACAACUUUCAUAAGAAGACAGACAUACACAACAGGAGUGGAUUGCAAAAGCGAGAUUUGCAAACAGACAAAAAUUAAUGUUGAAGAGUACAAACAAAUCUCCUGGCACGUACUAUACAAACUUCAACCCAAGAUCUUCUUUGCUAGCAGCCAAAAAGAAUUUCAUCCAGGAGGCAUAGUGCUUUAUCACGCAGGCUCAGCCUCAUCAAGUCCUCAGCCCUUGGCUGAGGGAUGAAGGAUAAAAUGCUUGGCCAUGAACUGCUGAAGAAUAGAGAAAAAUGAUCCAUUUGCAGCAAGGAAGGCUGAUUUUUUAAUAACACCUCUGCACCGGCUCUGGGGCACAGAAAGAAAAGGUGUGCUGGGUGAGUUCUGUAGGCAUGUGUCCUGAUUUAAGCAACACAGGACUAAUUUCUCUUCUAACGCUUGGGAAAACUGCACUUCUAGAAGACUUCAGUGUCUGAAUUUGUGAAAAUAUUUACUUUA
Chroicocephalus ridibundus (black-headed gull) is the source of this 649-nucleotide long non-coding RNA. RefSeq lists it as uncharacterized. The record is from RefSeq and is a predicted model, not a curated record. The transcript has 4 exons. NCBI's taxonomy places the organism in Eukaryota, Metazoa, Chordata, Aves, Charadriiformes, Laridae.